This 1543-nucleotide long non-coding RNA is filed under the name Equus asinus (donkey). Its description in RNAcentral is "lncRNA (ENSEASG00005032896.1)". The record is from RNAcentral. Lineage: Eukaryota; Metazoa; Chordata; Mammalia; Perissodactyla; Equidae.
GUGAUCAGAGCAAAACCAUUUUGGUAAAGUCUGAGAUGCCAAAAGGUCUUUAGUCCUUUCCUCUCUUGAACGUAUUGAUGCUAACACUUGGUCACUUCCUCCAUGAGACUACUUGUGGCCUUGGCUUCUAGGACACUCCAGUCUUCUGGGGGUCUCCUUGUACCUGUGAGGCCAUUGCAUCUUAGCUUCCUUAAAUAUCGUUCACUAGGGCCUUCAGUCCACAUAUCUUCUCAUUAUAUAUUAUCCUUCCUGGGUCAUCUCAUCCACCCUCAUGGUUUACUUGUCAUUGAUUUCUAAAUCUGUAUACCUAGCCCCGUGCAUGACCCUGCAUUUCAGACUACAGGCAUACCUUGUUUUAUUGCACUUUGCAGAUAAUUGCAUUCUUUCUAAGACCCUCCACCAGCAAAAAGAUUAUAACUUGCAGAAGGCUCAGAUGAUGUUUAGCACUUUUUAGCAAUACAGUAUUUUUAAAAUUAAGGUAUGUACAUUGUUUUUUUAGGCAUAAUGCUAUUGCACAUUUAGUAGACUGCAGUAUAGUGUAAACAUAGCUUUUAUAUCCCCUUGGAAACCAAAAAAUUCAUGUGACUCGCUUUAUUGUGAUAUUUGCCUUAUUGCAGUAGUCUGGAAUGGAACCCGCAGUCUCACCAAGGUAUGCCUGUUUUAUGUCAAACCACUUGCUGGACACCCCGUAAAGGCAUCUCAGACAGCACAGCUGCAGCUGAGUUCAGCAUCUUCCCCUGGUUUUUCCUGCCUUUGUGUCUUUGCUGAUGGCACCCUGUUUACCCACCCACUCAAGCUGGACCUCUUAACACAAGUGUGGAGGGAAAGUAACACAAAGAACAAGAACUGUGCUGCCAGACGUCACCUGGGUUUCAAUCUUGGCUGAAUCUUAGCUGUUUGACAUGUAAAUCACUUAGCCUCAGUUUCCUCAUCUAUAACAUAGGGAUAAAAAUAGUAGCUCCCUCAUAGGGUGAUUGUGAGGAUUAAAUAGGAAUUCUUGUAAGGCACUUAAAACUGCCUGGCACAGAGUGAGUGCUAUAUCUCGGUUAGCUCUUAUUAGCAUUCUGCCUGUUUUAUUUCCUAAAUAUCUCUCAGGUCCAACCUUACUACUAUUUCGGUUCGAGACUUCACUUCCUCUUUACUAAUUGAUCGAACUACUGCAAAUGUCUCCUAAUUGAUAUUUUUGUGUUCAUUCAUUCAUUCAGCAAGCUAAUUUUUCAAGUACUUUGCUGGGUCCUGCAGGGGCUGCAGAGGCAGAUGAGAGAGAGUACCUGAUCUGAAGAAGCAUGCUGGUGGCCAUGAGAAGACUGACAUAAGGAAGCACCAUAAAAUCCUACUGUGAAGAGGAAAUCUGGAUGCACAGAGACAUCAUCAGGGGCGCACACACACAGAGGGAUGGCCCUGUGUGGACAGAGUGAGCAGGUGGCCGUCUGCAAGCCAAGGAGAACGGCCCCAGGAGGCACAGACACGGGGACGCCUCGAUCAUGGACUUCUGGUCUCCAGAACAGUGAGAACGUAAGCGCGAGGCCUACACGGAUUCCCG